This 3410-nucleotide long non-coding RNA is filed under the name Sus scrofa (pig). Its description in RNAcentral is "lncRNA (ENSSSCG00035073442.1)". Lineage: Eukaryota; Metazoa; Chordata; Mammalia; Artiodactyla; Suidae. The record is from RNAcentral.
UUUUUCUUUUUUUUUUUUCUUUUUGUCUUUUUAGGGCUGCACCCAUGGCAUAUGGAAAGCUCCCAGGCGAGGGGUUGAAUCAGGGCUGCAGCUGCCGGCCUACGUCACGGCCACAGCAACGCCAGAUCUGAGCCGCAUCUGCGACUUACACCACAGCUCACGGCAACACCGGAUUCUUAACCCACUGAGCGAGGCCAGAGAUCGAACCUGCAUCCUCAUGGAUACUAGUCAGAUUCGUUUCCACUGAGCCACAACGGGAACUCCCUGUUUUUCAUGUCAAACAGUCUCUCACCAGUGUCCCCAGCUAUCUUGCUCCUUGUGCCACCUGCCUUGCAAAUCCCAGCCUGGCAAAAAUGUGACCCUGUGACUUUUCUCUCCCUAUUUUAGUUUGCUAAGUGCUGGCAGAGGAGGAAGGAAACAAGCGAGCACACAGGCCGGAGCAGCUACAAAUCACGGUCUGCCGUCGAUCCGAGCUUCCCUACUUGCAGAGGUCACUCUCUGCACUUUGCCAGCUUCUGCUACCACUUCACAUGGCAAAUAUUCAGAACUUCCACCUGUCCCGUCAAACUCCAGAUUUCACCUCUCUCCUGUUGGCAGAUGACCUUGUCUUCCGCAGCACUGAUAAAACUGGGGCCGUCCGAAAACUUGUCGGCUUCUUCCGCCUCCAUCAGUAUCCUACCCUUUGUCUUUAGAGAUCCUGCCUCCUGAGCUUUCCGGCCUCCUGACCUGGGUUCUAGCUCUCACCCCCACUGCUUCCUCAAGGAAGCUUUUCCGGCCUGUGUAUGCUCAUUAUCUCCUUCCUACUGUGUCUGUCCCUCAGGCCAAGAUGUCUCUGAUCCUAAAAAUAAAGGUAACUCUCCUCUGGUCCUGCCACAUCGCCCUCAACUUACUGUCCCCUUUCUAAGCUGUCUCUCACACUCAAGUCACCGCAUUUCGGCUUCUGCUGUUUCCCACUGUAUUCAAACUCUCAGUCAGCAAGGACCCUCAAGUGCCAAACCCAACUGGACCUGCUUCUGCUCUUUUUAUAUAUAACUCUGUGCAGUAUCCGCCACUCUGUUCUAUGAUGUCACUAUUUCUUUUUUCUUUUUUUUUUUAAUGGCCGCACCCACAGCAUACGGAAGUUCCCAGGCCAGGGAUCGAAUCCAAGCCACAGGUGUGACCUACACCACAGCUAUAGCAAUGCCAGAUCCUUAACCCACUGCUCUGGGCUGGGGAUCGAACCUGUGCCUCCGCAGCAACCUGAGCCUCUGCAGUAGGAUUCUUUGGAGGGGGGCACCCACAGCAUAUGGAGGUUCCCAGGCUAGGGGUCUAAUCGGAGCUGUGGCCGUGGGCCUACGCCACAGCCACAGCAACACAUGAUCCAAGCCAUGUCUGCGACCUACACCACAGCUCAUGGCACCGCCGGAUCCUUAACCCGCUGAGCAAGGCCAGGGAACGAACCCGAAACCUCAUGGUUCCUAGUCAGAUUCCUUAACCACUGCACCACGAUGGGAACUCCCUUACAGCCCCUUUUUUCACGAGUUAGAAUUUAUUAAGUUCCCAUUUAACGUGAAAAACUGAAAAAGCUGCAGAACUUGCCUUUCUUUUCCAAUGUGUUAUCGAAGAGAAAGCUGAAUUUCUCAGAACUUGGAAACUUGACCUGGCUCUAUGCAUGACAUGUCACAAAUAUCUGCUGUAAACUGGCCCGAGGAAUAAAAAUAUCUAAAUGAUUCUAUCCCCACAAAUACCUGUUAAAAAUUCACACUUCGCAUAUCUUCAAAAUAAAUUUACGUUUAAGAAGAAAUAAUAAGACACAAGAUGGAACACAUAUUUUAAGACAAGUUAAACUUUUCCAAACUAAAACGACUGCAUUGGAGCAAAAUAAAUCAUUCUAUUUUUAAGGCCCUCUGUUCCCAUCUUUUUAGGACUAUUAGGUCUGCCCUCUCUUGCCAAAAACAGUUUUCAAUCAUUCUUCCUGUUCUUUGGUUCCUUGACUCGCAUCACAAAGAAUGUUUUCUGAUUAAGAAACUGAUGUGAAGAGGAGGCUCAAGAAGAGUUUCAAGCAUCUCCUGUCCACAAAAUUCUGUUGUUAAGGUGUUGGGUUCGUACGGGCUUGAAGUUGAAAUCAAUCCUGUUACAUGAUCAGGCCGACUGAUCUUUUCACAUACAUGAAUGCAGCACUAAAAUGUACACCUCACACAGUAUUCGCUUAAGCAAGGAACAAUUUUCUUUCUUCGUAUAAAACUGGGUAAGCCCAAAAAUGCAUUUUGAUUUUUUUUCUCUCCAUUUUCUUCUUUUUGCUUUUUAGGGCCUGAUUUGGGCAUAUGGAAAUUCCCAGGCCAGGGGUCUCAUGGGAGGUACAGCUGCCUAGCCACGGCCACAGCCACGCUUGGAUCCCCCACCCACUGAGCAAGGCCAGGGAUGAACCCACCUCCUCAUGGAUAUUAGUCUGAUUCGUUUACCCCUGAGCCACAACAGGAACUCCCCCCCCCCUCCAUUUUCAAAACACGCUAGGCUCUAGAAAUGUAGUUUGUAUUUACCAGUGUGCACCUCUCCACCCUCCUCUCUCGUUUGCUCAGUACAGAAAGCCUGCCAUAGUACAGAGAAACAGAGAACAUCUUCUGAAUGCCUCCAGAGCUGGAGAAGGUGAAACACUUAGCUACCCAAAACAUUGCAGCAGGAAAGUAGAAGGAGGUGGUGGAGAGAUGACAGACGAACGUAUAUUCAGGAAGGUGCAGUGUGGACAAGGAAGGGUGAGAAUGGCAGUGGAAUGAACAGAAUGAGAAAACUGGCGCUCAGGGUGACGAGAGACGUGAAUGAGGUUGUAGCUUUAAAGGCAGAAGGUAACUGACUUGAUGACGCUUGACGUUGAGGAUGCAAAAGGCCUCCAGCUUCAUCAGGAAGUAAGGUGCAUGACGAACACAGGGCAAAAAGAAGAAAAUGGCAGUUCUUUGUUCACAGGCCGGCAACCAGGGGAAGCGGUGGUUUGGUGGACUUUGUCAUGGCCUGGAUUUUCAGGCCCGGUCUCUGUGCAGGGGUGAGUCUUCGCCUGGAAAGUGAGAAAAGGAACGCCUACCCAACAGAUUGCGGGUGUUCUCAGCCCUCUUUAAAUAAGAGCAGCAGCCUAACUCUAAAUGCCUGCUGUGCGUGGGUCCCGGGAAACCGGCGACUCCAUCCUCAUGCAGAAUCCCUCCAGCCCGCGGUUGGAAAGGCCGAUCCAGAAGAGGCUCUCCUGUCGUUUCGGGCCAUGCUGGGCAGAGAAGAGGGAAAGACCGGGAUGCUGAAAAAGAACGGAGAAUAGGUCCUUUCCUCCUCGGGUCUGCGGCCGGAGCCUCGGGACCCGGGCCCGAAAGUGUCCUUCGGUGAGCGCUGUGAGGGUCCCAGGGCGCGCCCAACGCCGCUCCACAGCCGCUCAGAGGCCAGCGGCAGGU